UACGUAGGGGGCAAGCGUUGUCCGGAUUUAUUGGGCGUAAAGCGCUCGCAGGCGGCUCGAUGCGUCGUGCGUGAAACACCCCGGCUCAACUGGGGAGGGUCGUGCGAUACGGUCGGGCUGGAGGCCAGUAGGGGGAUGCGGAAUUCCGGGUGUAGUGGUGGAAUGCGUAGAGAUCCGGAGGAACACCAGCGGCGAAGGCGGCAUCCUGGACUGGUCCUGACACUCAGGAGCGAAAGCGUGGGGAGCGAUCCGG
This 253-nucleotide ribosomal RNA is filed under the name uncultured bacterium. RNAcentral describes it as "partial 16S ribosomal RNA". It matches the Rfam family "Bacterial small subunit ribosomal RNA", at positions 524 to 776 of the family's 1533-position model. The record is from RNAcentral.